Molecule: long non-coding RNA, 900 nt
Filed under: Monodelphis domestica (gray short-tailed opossum)
Lineage: Eukaryota; Metazoa; Chordata; Mammalia; Didelphimorphia; Didelphidae
Description: lncRNA (ENSMODG00000031950.2)
Source: RNAcentral
UUUUUGUUUGAAUUUAUAUUUCUAGGCUUACUCCAUAGCCUGAUACAUAAUAAGUCCUUAAAAUUAUCCAUUUAGCGUUCUGUCUCUUCCAUACUUGCUUUCCUCCUUCCUUACUUCUAAUGUUUCAAAGAUCAUAUAGUAAGCAUUAGAUCCAGUAUUCCAAUCUGAGUACCUUGACACCAGAGACAUUUUCCACUGGAUAGCAUUAAUCUAGAAGCAUCUUAGAAUCCCCACAUUCUACAUAGGGGAAACAGGCUCAAAGGAAAAGUGAUUUGCUAAUCAAUCAGUAAGUGCCUACUAUAUGUCUAAAACUAGGGGCAAAACGUAGGAAUAAAGAUGUCCUCUAACUUUCUGUUGCUUGUGGUUACAUCACAAUUGUGAUUCUCUGAUUUCAAGACAUAGGAGAGUUCUAGAGUUGGAAGAGACCAUAGAGACCACAAAUCUAAUCCCCUCAUAUCAUAUUUGAGGAAGCCAACUCUCUUAGAGGUUGUGGCUCACCCAAGCUUAUGCUAGGACUAGGCAUCAGGGGUAGUAUAGUUUGUUUGAAAUAAACAAAAGGAGAAUGGUUUUAAGGGUUAUGAAAUACUUAGCUCUGUAUCUCUUCUCCUUGUGAUCUCAACUAGGUAAAUUUAUUGUAACCAACAAAUUGUUGAAUUCUGGUUUCUAAUGCAUUCUGCUAUCUACUUCCAUUUUAUGGGUAAGAGCUGGGGAGCAGGUGACACUAAAGGAGGAAAGCAGCCAUGUAAGAGGCAAAGUAAGAACUCACAGAAGAGGUACUAUUCACAUUAGUCAUUCUUACAUAGCUGAGGCAUGAGAGAAAUGGGAUUCAAAUCCAGUUCUUUUUAGCUCUGCGUUCAACUCUAGCCACUCUACCAUGUUACUACAUUAAAUAAUUAAAAG